This 484-nucleotide ribosomal RNA is filed under the name uncultured bacterium. RNAcentral's name for it is "partial 16S ribosomal RNA". It matches the Rfam family "Bacterial small subunit ribosomal RNA", at positions 30 to 507 of the family's 1533-position model. The record is from RNAcentral.
AUUGAACGCUGGCGGCAGGCCUAACACAUGCAAGUCGAGCGGAUGAAGGGAGCUUGCUCCUGGAUUCAGCGGCGGACGGGUGAGUAAUGCCUAGGAAUCUGCCUGGUAGUGGGGGAUAACGUCCGGAAACGGGCGCUAAUACCGCAUACGUCCUGAGGGAGAAAGUGGGGGAUCUUCGGACCUCACGCUAUCAGAUGAGCCUAGGUCGGAUUAGCUAGUUGGUGGGGUAAAGGCCUACCAAGGCGACGAUCCGUAACUGGUCUGAGAGGAUGAUCAGUCACACUGGAACUGAGACACGGUCCAGACUCCUACGGGAGGAAGCAGCGGGGAAUAUUGGACAAUGGGCGAAAGCCUGAUCCAGCCAUGCCGCGUGUGUGAAGAAGGUCUUCGGAUUGUAAAGCACUUUAAGUUGGGAGGAAGGGCAGUAAGUUAAUACCUUGCUGUUUUGACGUUACCAACAGAAUAAGCACCGGCUAACUUCGUG